This 606-nucleotide ribosomal RNA is filed under the name Madrepora oculata (zigzag coral). Its description in RNAcentral is "eukaryotic LSU rRNA". The stretch from base 204 to 357 matches the Rfam family "5.8S ribosomal RNA". Lineage: Eukaryota; Metazoa; Cnidaria; Anthozoa; Scleractinia; Oculinidae. The record is from RNAcentral.
AUUACCGAUAAAAGUAUCCAACAACUACCCAGUUGUACUGUGUGAACUGUACCAAACUAUUAGGGGUCGGCUAGUCCGUUAAAUGGUGGUCGGACGCGAGAGAUCGCGGCCGCUCCGCCAGCCCCGCUUGUGUUUUUUACAAUCAUAAGUGUCAAAGUCUGAAUGUGUGGCCCUGCGCCACAGAGAGCAAAAAAAUGAGAUACAACUUUUGACGGUGGAUCUCUUGGCUCACGCAUCGAUGAAGAACGCAGCCAGCUGCGAUAAGUAGUGUGAAUUGCAGAAUUCAGUGAAUCAUCGAAUCUUUGAACGCAAAUGGCGCUCUUGGGUUCUCCCAGGAGCAUGUCUGUCUGAGUGUCGGAUAUCAUCCAUCGCACUUGAGUGUGCGGAAUUGAGGUGUCACGGCGGCCUGUUCUGCCGUGUCCCUUGAAAAUCAGAGAGACUCGCUGUGGYUUGGGUCCAUUCCCUGCACACUUGCGGAGGCUAAAAUGUCUUUUGCCCUUCGCGUGCUGGGAAUGCCUCUGCUGCGAGUCGCAUUGGCGAACUUUUUCAAACUAUCUUGACCUCAGAUCAGGCAAGGCUACCCGCUGAAUUUAAGCAUAUUAAUAA